Oncorhynchus keta (chum salmon) is the source of this 415-nucleotide long non-coding RNA. RefSeq lists it as uncharacterized. Lineage: Eukaryota; Metazoa; Chordata; Actinopteri; Salmoniformes; Salmonidae. The transcript is spliced from 2 exons. The record is from RefSeq and is a predicted model, not a curated record.
GCCAAGUUGUGCGCUGCUUGCCUGGUAACCAUUGGCAACUGUAUCCGUGGCAGCCGUGGACUGGACAAGCUAUGUAUCAAUGUGGGGAUGGAUGGCUCUGUCUAUACAGAACACCCCAAGUUUAGUGAGCGGCUGAAGGAGACUGUGGCCAUCCUGGCCCCAAAAUGUAAACUCACUUUCCAUGUUUCUGAGGAUGGCAGCAGGAGAGGGGCAGCCAUAUUGGCAGCCAUGACUCAGGGGCGGGCCGAUCAACCUAAGCAAGCCCUCAUGUGAUGGAGAGGAGGAGGAUGAAGGGAACGCACAGGGGAAAUUAAUCUAUGUAUUGCAACAUUUGAUUGUUAUAAUGAAAAUAUGUUAACCAUUUAUAGGCACUUUAUGUAACACUAUAAUAAAGCAUAUACUUUUUUUCACACGU